CCUACGGGUGGCAGCAGUGGGGAAUAUUGCGCAAUGGGCGAAAGCCUGACGCAGCGACGCCGCGUGAGGGAUGAAGGUUUUCGGAUCGUUAACCUUUGUCAGAAGGGAAGAAGUUGCAUGGGGCCAAUCCUCUGUGCAUUGACGGUACCUUCAAAGGACGCACCGGCUAACUCCGUGCCAGCAGCCGAGGUAAUACGGAGGGUGCGUGCGUUAAUCGGAGUUACUGGGAGUAAAGCGAACGUAGGUGGUAUGUCAAGUCAAGGGUGAAAUGGCACGGCUCAACCGUAGAACUGACUUUGAAACUGGCAAACUGGAGUAUGUGAGAGGGUGGCGGAAUUCGUGGUGUAGGAGUGAAAUCCGUAGAUAUCAGGAGGAACAUCAGUGGCGAAGGCGGCCGCCUGGCACAAAACUGACGCUGAGGUGCGAAAGCGUGGGUAGCAAACAGGAUUAGAUACCCGAGUAGUC
Molecule: ribosomal RNA, 465 nt
Filed under: uncultured bacterium
Lineage: Bacteria
Description: partial 16S ribosomal RNA
Rfam family: Bacterial small subunit ribosomal RNA
Source: RNAcentral